RNAcentral lists this long non-coding RNA (311 nucleotides) under Capsella rubella. RNAcentral describes it as "long non-coding RNA (CRUB_LNC003442)". Lineage: Eukaryota; Viridiplantae; Streptophyta; Magnoliopsida; Brassicales; Brassicaceae. The record is from RNAcentral.
CUUUAUGUCUUUCUAGUUUCUGUAAAUUCACAUGUUAUAGUUAGAGGAGGAGCGAUGUGUUGGUCCAUUUUACCUUUUGCUGUGACCAGAUCAAGAAGAUAGCUGAACAAAAACUAUUAGCUACUCAAGAGGAGUUCACAUGUUCUUUAUAAAAAAUAAAAUAAAAAAAGAAAUUGCUACUAGAAUAUGUUUAUGAAGAGAGUAAAAAAUGUUCACAUGUUGCCUUCUAUUGACUUGCCUCCAUCGUCUUCUUUGUCACCAUUUGAUGUACUCUUAGCCCCAUGCCUCUUGGAUGCCUUUUUCCUCCUAUC